Molecule: ribosomal RNA, 479 nt
Filed under: uncultured bacterium
Lineage: Bacteria
Description: partial 16S ribosomal RNA
Rfam family: Bacterial small subunit ribosomal RNA
Source: RNAcentral
GACGAACGCUGGCGGCGCGCUUAACACAUGCAAGUCGAGCGAUGAAAUUUCGACAGAUCCCUUCGGGGUGAAGAUGAAAUGGAUUAGCGGCGGACGGGGGAGUAACACGUGAGUAACCUGCCUUUGACAUUGGGAUAGCCUCGGGAAACUGGGAUCAAUGCCAAAUGACACUAACUGAUCACAUGAUCAAUUGGUCAAAGAAAUUCGGUCAAAGAUGGACUCGCGGGUGAGUAGCUAGUUGGGGAGGUAACGGCCCACCAAGGCGACGCUCAGCAGCCGGCAAGUGAGGGUGAUCGGCCACAUUGGAACUGAGACACGGUCCAAAAUCCUACGGGAGGGAGCAGUGGGGAAUAUUGCACAGUGGGGGAAAUCAUGAUGCAGCGAGGCUGGGUGAGCGAAGAAGGCGUUGGGGUAGGAAAGCUCUUUUAUGAGGGAAGAUAAUGACGUUACCUCAAGAAAAAGCCCCGGCUAACUACGUG